Molecule: transfer RNA, 74 nt
Filed under: bacterium
Lineage: Bacteria
Description: tRNA-Arg
Rfam family: tRNA
About the family: Transfer RNA (tRNA) molecules are approximately 80 nucleotides in length. Their secondary structure includes four short double-helical elements and three loops (D, anti-codon, and T loops).
Source: RNAcentral
GGGUCCGUAGCUCAACUGGAUAGAGCAUCAGUCUUCGGAACUGAGGGUUGGGGGUUCAAGCCCCUCCGGGCCUG